RNAcentral lists this ribosomal RNA (498 nucleotides) under uncultured bacterium. Its description in RNAcentral is "partial 16S ribosomal RNA". It matches the Rfam family "Bacterial small subunit ribosomal RNA", at positions 30 to 523 of the family's 1533-position model. The record is from RNAcentral.
AUUGAACGCUGGCGGUAUGCUUUACACAUGCAAGUCGAACGGCAGCACGGGGCAACCUGGUGGCGAGUGGCGAACGGGUGAGUAACAUAUCGGAACAUGUCCGGAAGUGGGGGAUAACGUACCGAAAGGUACGCUAAUACCGCAUAUGCCCUGAGGGGGAAAGGGGGGGAUCGCAAGACCUCUCGCUUUCGGAGUGGCCGAUAUCGGAUUAGCUAGUAGGUGGGGUAAAGGCUCACCUAGGCGACGAUCCGUAGCUGGUCUGAGAGGACGACCAGCCACACUGGAACUGAGACACGGUCCAGACUCCUACGGGAGGCAGCAGUGGGGAAUUUUGGACAAUGGGGGAAACCCUGAUCCAGCAAUGCCGCGUGUGUGAAGAAGGCCUUCGGGUUGUAAAGCACUUUCAGUGGGGAGGAAGGGUGUGAUGCUAAUAUCAUCAUGCAUUGACGUUGCCCACAGAAGAAGCACCGGCUAACUCUGUGCCAGCCGCCGCAGUAA